Molecule: long non-coding RNA, 8403 nt
Organism: Vicia villosa (hairy vetch)
Lineage: Eukaryota; Viridiplantae; Streptophyta; Magnoliopsida; Fabales; Fabaceae
Exons: 4
Source: RefSeq, a predicted model, not a curated record
AGUCAAAAGAUCUCAAUACAACAACACAACUAACUUCUCUCAGAUCUUCUUCCUUUCUUUCCACGUAAACAUACCGCGGACAAAGGUAGCAAAAGCAUUCACCUAAAUUCAUUAUUUUGUUUUUAUCCAAUCAACACAAAUAUGAGUCUGCCUAAAGCUUAUACUAUUCUGAUUACCUUAGAGUUGGGUUCAAUUGGAAUUAAAUAUCAAGGUUUAAACACUAAUCCAUUCCAACAAUCAUCCCCAAUUAUGUUACUGUUUUUGACUUCUAUAUUUUGUCAUAUCGUUGCAUCCACAGCUGACAUGAACUUACCAACUACUAUGGUAAUAUUUCACAUAUCUGGUGUUGUUGGAUGUGAGAUACUUUUAUGGAUUCUCAUCCCUCAGUUCUGGAAUUGAUUUCAGCAAACAUCAAGCAAUAUUGUGCAACCUGUUUUUCUUGUAUUGUUGGAAUGAUUCUUUUUGGUGGUCUCCGAGCACCCAAAGCCCAAAAGGAACAAGAAAUACUAGUUCUGAACCACAAGACGAUAACACAAGAAGCAGAGAGAAUUCAAGAAAAAGAUCUAGGAGCUCGAAUGAAGUAGAGAAACACGAACUGUCCAAAGAUCUAGAAGAAUUUAGGAAGGAUGUGAGAUGUGGUUCUAUAGGUACUAAAGAGUAUAAGUCCCGGUUCUCAGGAUCAGGCCUUAAGCAGUUGUUGUUUAGAGAAUGAAUUCAAUUAAUCUCAUGAGCUACUUGGAGGGCAUCUUCAAGUUUGAUCUAGAACAAUUCUGCAACACUUGAUUUAAGAGGUCUUGUUCUUGCAUCAUUUUGUCCAUUUAAUUUACAAUUUCUAUAGACUUUAACAAUGCAUUAACCAAUUGCUUCAUAGUUUAAUUAACUUAAUACUUUGAAUGAAUAAAGAUAUCCAUGAUAUAAUUUAGUAUAAUGUUAAAGUUAUUUAGAGACUGGUUUAUUAUGCAAUAUAUAGAAUUAAGAUUAAGACAAAAUGAAAGUUUUAAACGGAAAUGUUAGUACUAAAACUGAUAUCCAAACCCUGUUUACAACACCAAUAUCAUAGGGAAAAUUGAAGUCAGAAAGAACGUUACAUAGAUAAAAUAGAUACUGUAGAAUUAUUUGCUCCAUGUUUUGUCUCUUACAAUUGACCUCGUAAGUUAGCACUUCGUAUUUCUCUGCGGAAAAAGCAUUGCUCAUGCUUAUAUAACAUCAUGAAGGUUUUCUAAAUAUUUGUGACUACUUAGUAUACUGGCUUAACCGCACACGUAGUCGAAACAUGGAAAUUCUAUCAUAGUUGAAACAACAGUUGAAGAUGAUAUUAUAUAUGCAUGACUGAAAAUAGAUGGAGUAAAACUGCCAUAUGGAAAUUCUGUUAGAAAAUGAUUAGGAUGAAAGAUAAAACACAUGAGAUCAAUAUUCUAAUUAAUGUAAUUAGAUAAUACUAAUAGAUCAAAUUAUAGAGAAGAAAAAUCUGCCGUCGAGAAAUGACUUCCCUAGUAAUAAGCAUAAACCAUGACAUACUAAUUGGACAAACAACUUAAAAUAUUAUAACUUAUUUUUUUAACAAAAGAUAAUCAAAUCAAAUUGUUUAAACUAUAAGCUAUCAUGAAGAGCAUGUAAAUAAGAUUGGUAUUUUUGUUUGUGUUUAUUCUCAAUUUGCUGCAAAUAUGCAAUUGCUCAUCAAAUAAAGCUCAAGGACAUAGAAUUGAAACGAAAUACAGGAUAUUUUAGUUGCAUAUGUCGGGUAAAUUUUAUUAUUUUGUAUAAAAAUGUAAUGCAAUUCUGUUUUUUUUUUUUAAAUUUAAAUUUAGUGGUCAGAAAGUUGUGUAUGUUUGAAUGGAUAAUUUUUAUGUGGAGAUGUAAAAUUUCUUUUUUUUACCAAUUGUCAAAUAGUGUAGAGGAAUUAUAAUAAUUUGUUAAUGUUUUUUGACAUAUCAGUGCUAUAGUAUUGUAGUGUGGCAGAAUUACCAGUCAUGCCUUCACAUGUUACUGCACCAUUUUUUAUGUGCAUUCCAUGUAAUGCGCGACCUGUUGUUGCUUCAUCCAAUCCUGCCAUUUUAGAAUUCCAUUAGCAGCUGCCAAGCGAGCCGCACAAUGUGCAGCUUGCUUUUCUUUUCACGUUGCAGUCUUCGCAUGUCCGAGUUGAAUGGGUAUCCAACUAUCUCUAAACUUUUUGAUUUUAUGUGACCAAUUAUGUCACAAUGAUCACAAUUUGGAUUGGAUCCGCCUCGCCACUUUUGUUUUCUGCCACUAGAAUCGAAUGCUGCUCCUGCAUCUAGUUUGUAGAUGAUCCACUAUAGUAGAAUUGUGGCUUUGACAUCAGUGAAUUGCUCAUUGUCAAGGCAGCUAAGAAAAAGAUGAACUUUUUUAUCUUCUUCUCUUUUCAUAAAUUCCUUGGAGGCUGAUGACGGGCUAUUAGUGCACAUCAUUUAGCAUGAAAAAUCGUCGGAUUCUGAGAAGAAUCAAACAAGUUAGAAGCAUUUAAGUGAAAAAAGCUUAAAUAAUUGCUUUUGGGUGGAGAAAAGGACAUAGUGAAAAAAUUGGUGAAAAAAGAAACAAAAAACACGCUGAAGUCCCUGGAAAAUACGCGCCAACAACGUCCCCACGCUAUCUUCUAAUGCGCCCGCGCUGAAAAGUAUCACGCCCGCGUUGAAGCAUUGAUGGCACAAAGCGCUCGCGUUGAGAGGCAGCGCGCACGCAUUGCAGUUUUUCGACACGUUUAACAUCCGCUUUAUAAGGAAAAGGUAGAGAAAAAUAGGAGUUCGACCAAGUCCUCAAAGUGACGUUUUGCUGCAAUUUUAAUUAAACAUGAGUAGUUAGAUUCUCCUAGUUUAGGUCGAACUUGAUGAUGAACCUGUUUUACUUUAUUGAGACAUAUGAUCGGAUGAUGUUAAUGUAUUGUUCUAACUUAUUGUUAUUAUUCAAUUAUUGAUUGUGCACAUUAUGUUUUGAUUUUUACGUCAUUGGAAUCGAUAUUGAUAAAUAUUGACUACUGACCCUAGGGCUAUCUAUUUGAACUAAUUUAAUUGUUGAAUUCUCUAAUUGACUAGGGAUAGUAUGAUUAGGAAUUGAAAAUAAGGGACUAACGCACUCUAUUGCCUAAUUUGACGGGACAAUUGGCCUGAGGGAUCGGGGAGUUAACGCUUAGAUUAGUGAGCUAUACGUCAAGGGAUUGGGUAUAAUGAUAGAGUUAGUCUGUCGUAUAACUCUGUAGUCAGUGCAUGUUUGUUAAUGCGUGUUUCAUUAAUCAACUAAAAUUAUGAGAUUAUGAUAAGACGACUUGACCUCUUUUCUCACUAUCGCUUUAAAAACAUUUUCUUGCAUUUUCGACUAAACAAAUCUUAAAAAUCCCCCCGUUUACUGUUUUAAUUUACAUCACAUAAUAUUUCUUGUUUAAAGUUCGCAAUCCCCGUAGAGACGAAUUUUAUUUUCAUUACUUUGAUAACAUUGCUAGUACACUUGCUAGUAAUUUUAUCAUCUAGUUUUUGACGUCGUUGCCAGAGACUGUUUACAUUCUCAACAAGGCAUAGUGAGUUACUUGUUUUAUUUUUAAUUUUUGUUUAAUUUUAAUUUUGUUAAUCUGAUUAUUCACUAUUGUUCCGAUUUGACCCAAUGUCCAGGCAUGACCCAAUCCACUUUUGCACCCAGAAGGCCAAUUAGCCUUGGCACAACCAGUGAGGGCAAAGGGAAGCUCCUUUCCUCCUGUCCCUCCGCCGAGGACACAUCCUCACCUGGCCAACGGACCAGCGAACCAACGCUACCCUUGGCCAGACCUCCACGUAAGCCGACACCAAGACAUCCCUUUUGCUCCUCCGUCAGUGACAGAUGGACACUUGCUCGCUGGGCACCGUUGCUUCCUAGAAAUGCAUCUCUGUCUCGCCUCAACGGCUAGUUUCGGGCAGCCUUCCAGAAUUUCUAGUUUUACGCCUAGAUUCCUGUCAGUCACAUAUUUUGGGCCUGGAUCCUUGAUCCAACCGAAAUAUGGACCAAUGGUCAAGUGUUGGGGACAUUAUAAAAACCCUCUCAUAUGGACCAAUGACCUAUUGACUUUUGCAUUGGAGUGCCUUAUAGGUACACCACCUUCCUUUAAAUUACCAACAUUAUACGCGAAGUCGUUGGCCCACUUUCAGGUUCUAGUCAACCGGUAAGAUCAUUGGCGCCGUUUGUGGGAACAUCUGUUCUCCCCAUCUUUCUUUCCUUGGAAACCAAAGAUCCAAACAGUUUUUCAAGAUUUCAACCAUGGCCAGUCACAACGACAACCGCAAUGUUCACCCCUCCGUCAUUUCUCCCGAGCACCAAACCAACCUUGCCAGCAUGAAUCCCUUUUUGGAGGACGCAGUUCCUCCGAAAAGGGACGGAGCCACCGCAUCCCCCUCUCUGAACGGCGCACACGAUCUUGGCACUCAGUUCGAUGACACUAGCAAGAUCAAGAAAGUUCUGGAGGAUGCACCUGAAAUAUUCAAGCAGAUUCCUAUGCCGACCAAUGCCGACAUUAUCCUAGCAGUCUUGGUCGAGGCAUUCAACAAGACAAACUCCUUAAUCAUGCACCAGAACAAGAGGAUCAGAGCACUAGAGAAAGCACGCCUUUCCAGAUCUCCUCUGCGGAGACACUGAAGAGAAUCCCGGAGUCCAUCAUUGCGACAUAGAGAGCACCGCUCGACUCAAGGGGAACAAGAAUCCCUAGGUGUCAAGAAACAUGAUUGCAUACCUCCCCGCAGGAGCCCGCGCUCCCCGGUGACAAAGAAAAGAAAAGAGAAUCCAUGGGCAGAGAACAUACGCACUCUCCCCCCCCCCCCCGCUCGACUCGAAGGACCGGUUAAGAACUCCUUCUCCUCGCCAAGAACGUGGUCCUCGAUACGGUAGAUGCAACACAUCUCCUGCCCGGUCUCCUAGCUCCAGCAACAAAGACGUGCCUCGCGGCCCGUCGUCUCUUGAAAUAAUGACUACACGACUACCUAAAGGAUUGGAGAAGCUCCACCUCUAGGCACCUACGACGGAACAAGCGACCCUGACGAGCACAUCAAAAAUAUCGACGCUCUCCUCAAUUAUCGUGGCGUCAAGGGCGCCAUCAAAUACAGGUUGUUCCCCAUAACACUAAGAAAUGGGGCCAUGUCCUGGUACAAGAGCCUCCCUUAUGGGUCCAUCGCCUCGUGCAAAUAGUUAGGGAGGAUGUUCUUCAAACAUUUCACAGCUUCUCACCUACAUCCGAAAUCAGAUGCCUCACUCGAGAUGAUAAUCCAGGGAAAGGACGAGUCCCUCCGGACAUAUAUUAAGAGAUUCAACAAAGAAGUCGUCCUAGUCUCCACGAUAAAUGACAUGAAGAAAUAUCUGCUCAAGCGAGGUCUGCGCCCCCGCGGCAACUUUGCCAAGGUAGUUGGCAUCGAGACCCCUCUUACCCUGGACACCCUCCUCCUCAAGGCCAAGACAUACAUUCAAUACGAGAAAAAUGAAGUAGCCAAUACUGCCCGAUAUUCGAGACACCAGAAGAAUUCAAAAUCCUCGAGGCCCGGUGACUCCUCGAUAUCUCAUAGGGGAGGAUACAAGAACAAAGAGGAAAGAUCCCAUGAAUCUUGGGAAUACAAGGGACAAACUGGUCGUUUUCAUGAGUACACGUCGCUGUCCGCCUUACGAGAAAAUAUUUUCCGAGUGCGCCAAUGCAGUUUUCUGUGAGGCUGGGGUUCGCUUUCCCCGACAAACGCUAGCAAAACCAAACAAAAACAAGACUAAAUACUAUCAGUUCCACAAGAGCCACGUGCAUACCACUGAAGACUACAUCAACCUCAAGAAUGCCAUCGAGAUCCUGAUCCGAGACGAGCAUCUCAAAAAAUAAACAAAGAAAAGGGAUGAUGCUCGGCAGGAACCCUGAGAAACGAAAAAAUUUCGGGAAAGAGAAACCCCCUUUAGAUGAUGUCAGUAUGCCCGUAUCCUUGAGCGUAACACGACUAAAGGACUUCUACGUCCCGGACGAAGACGCGCUCCCCUUAUAUCUAGCAACACAUAGUCCCCGGGAGAACUUUACCUCUGCCUUGGUCAUAUCGGGUGGGAGGGAGCAGCAAGAUGACCGUGGGCUCGGUCAAAAGAAAAUUCGAGCAACCCAUUAGUACAAGCUCCAACACUAGUUCCACCCUUAACAAGAUCCGAGGCACCUCCAUUCCUAUAGCUUUUUUCUGAGAGGAACUCCCCGGCGGUUCCCUUAACUCAAGCAUUCCCCUGCUCGUACUGGCACAAAUGACGAACUUUGAUUUCUGAGGCAUUUUAGUUAACCAAGGGAGCUCGGUCGAUAUCAUGUACUCACAACUAUUCUCCAUGCUGCAAUUGGAUGAAACAUACCUGACACCAUACGUAGGUUGUGACCUACAAGGUUUCAAUGACAGUUAUAAAGCCGUGAGGUACGUAGAACUGCUCGUCACAUUCGGGGUCGUAGAAAUGUCUAGAUCUAUCAAAGUUCAAUUCCUGGUGAUAGACUACCCCUCACUUUACCAGCACAUCCUUGGCAGGCCGAUGCUGGCCGAACUGAUACUUGUGCCUUCCAUAGUGCACAUGAAGAUGAAAUAUUACACCUCCAAGGGUCUCUUCGCCAUCCUCCACGGGGACAUCGAGGCUGCAAGGAGAUGCUUUAAGGCUGCGUCGAAGGGGCUAAACACCAUCAGUGCGCUGGCAAAAAACAAGCUCGAUCUGCCCAACAGCUCCGAAGAGCCUAGAUCAUUACCUUGCAUCGACUGUGAAGUCCACUUGAGGCCUUGGAAGUUCCAUUUCCUUGAGAGAAAUCAAAACCCUAAUUGGAGGUCCAUUGCUUAGGAGGCUUCUUGAAACAAACUGUCUUGAAUAUGUGAGGGCAAAUUUGAGUGUGCAACAAACCUCAUCUGUAAAUGCAAGCUUCUCAAGCAUAGUGUGUUUUGAUGAAGACAAUAUGGACAUCAAGCUUUUAUAAAGGAUGUGCAAAAAGAAUUUCAAGUAUCAAGCAAAAAUACAUCAUUUCAAAGUCUUGAAGAAAUUGUGAAGAUUCAAGAAUCAAGCUAAAGUAUCAAAGGUAUAAACAAUACUCACUUUGACAUAUAAUUGUUCACAAAUAUAUUUCCAUGCAUAUCAUAAACAUACUACAAAGUGUCAUCCUUCAAAAGUUCAUUUAAAACCUUUUUCUAAGUUAAAAUUCAAAAUAAAGGUUUUAGGAACCGGGUUGUCCCUAUGGGGGAACCGGUUCCCAGCAUUCUAAGUUUUCAGUUCUCUGUGUUUUACUAUGGGGAACCGGGUUGUCCCUAGGUGGGAACCGGUUCCUCAGUUCAAAAUUUGAAAUUUCUGCUGUAACGUUCAGCAGGAACCGGGUUGUCCCAGGUAGGAACCGGUUCCUACUGAACCAGUGUGUUUUUUCAUUGCAUGAUCUUAUUCAAACGAAUCCAUUUUCUUACCACUUGAUCAUUGCAUUGUUUCAUGGAAAAAUAACCAUUCAAAGAGGUGUUUGACACAUUAUAAAUACUACAUAUUUCAAAAUCAUUAUUCACCUUCUUUAUUAACAAUUCAUACUCAUAAAUUUCAUUAUUUUCAAGUGUCCACAAACCAGAAUUUUUAUAUGAAACUUUCUACACACAUUUUCAUUGAGAAUUCAUUUAAAGUUUCAUGCAUACAUUGUGAACACUUAUAUUCAUUUUGAGAAUUGUUUAUUUGAAGAAGAAGAUCAAUCCAAGAUUGAUAGUGCUAUACAAACUUCAUCUAAAUCUCUUGUAAAAAAUUCAAAGAAAAUUAUCUCCUUACUAUCCAGGAUUGUUGGAAGUAGGUGGUGUGUUUGAAGAGGAUUGUUCUUCAUUCACAUUAGUGUUGAUUGAUCUUAAAGGUGUUAAGAACCUUUGAUCACCCUAUAGGUUAGAUAGUAGGCAUAGGCUUGUACAAUAAUUCUAACUAUAGUGAAAUCUCUUUCGUGUUUGAAAGGGGACUGGAGUACUCUCGGAUUGUGAGGGGAACCAGUAUAUAUCGUUGCGUUCUUUACUUUUCCGCACUUUAUUGCAUUCAUCACCAUUACCAAAGAAAAGAAAAGAACCUUACAAAAACCUUCAAACACUUAACCAAAAAUUAUUAGAAGUAUUCUCAUAAAACCGAUUAAAUUUUUGAAAACCUAAUUCACCCCCCCCUCUUAGGCGCAAUCUUAUACUUACAUUUGGUAUCAGAGCAAGUUAUAGGUAACUUGUUCCUAAAGAUCCAGAAUGGCUUCCGCAAAUCAAAGACCGGUUUUCAAAGAUGGUGGUUCUAACAACAAGCCUCCAUUGUUUUGUGGUGAAUAUUUUGACUUUUGGAAAAUCCAAAUGAAGGCUCAUCUAGAAGCACAAGGAGAAGAAGUUUGGGAGGCUGUCCUACAAGGUCCUCAUGUUCCUACAACGGUCGUUAAUGGUGUUGGAUCGGAGAAACCUAAAGCGU